Long non-coding RNA from Ictalurus punctatus (channel catfish), 460 nucleotides. Lineage: Eukaryota; Metazoa; Chordata; Actinopteri; Siluriformes; Ictaluridae. The record is from Ensembl.
GUGUGGACAGAGCAUGUGGGGGGCAGAUGGACAGUGCAAGGAAAGGGCAAAUUUCACAUACACAGCUAGAGGAAGGGAUAACAGUGGACAAAAGGCAAGACUAGCAGUCUGAAUGGAGAAUGACAAUAGUCUGAUGGAUAACAAAGGCAUUGUGCCAGACUGCACUCUGCUUAUGUUUCAGGUGGCUGCCGGAGGAUCAGCUGGACUACACAAUAAUGCAAAGAGCAGGGGGGCCAGGAAAAGAUACAGCAAGAAGAAGAAGAGAACUGAAAGGGCUGAAAGCUACAGAGGUUACAGGAAACCUGGAGCCUAUCCCAGAGAGCAUCGGGCACAAGGCGUGGUACACCCUGGACAGGGUGCCAAUCCAUCACAGAGCACAAUCACAUACACAUCCCAUUCAUACACUACAGACAUUUUGGUAAUGCCAAUCCCCAAUGUCUUUUGACUGGGGGAGUACCCG